RNAcentral lists this small RNA (343 nucleotides) under Rattus norvegicus (Norway rat). RNAcentral's name for it is "uncharacterized LOC102548358". The record is from RNAcentral. Lineage: Eukaryota; Metazoa; Chordata; Mammalia; Rodentia; Muridae.
UCUUGUCCAAAGUUCUAUUGGCCUCUCUCCACCAGCCAGACAGAUGGCUUCCUGACCCCGUGGUCUGGUAACUGAAUGUUACAAAUGGCCCUGGAGAAUUGAAUUGAAUCUCCACAAAUAGGAAAGAAGCUAAGUAUUGUGGCAGCCCACCGAGUUUUCUUGUUUAACUCAGGCCCCAUGGUAAGAAGAAAGGCUAUGAAGACCCUAAAUCCUCACAGGGAAAUAGAAGGCCAAUCCUGGUCUGGAAUGGCAAAUGUCUUCACAAGAGAUAUCCAGUCAAAGCAGAAAUGUGUUUGUGUGUGACUUAAACAAAUAGGCCAAUAAACUAGCUUAUUUCUAAGUG